Molecule: ribosomal RNA, 497 nt
Filed under: uncultured bacterium
Lineage: Bacteria
Description: partial 16S ribosomal RNA
Rfam family: Bacterial small subunit ribosomal RNA
Source: RNAcentral
GAUGAACGCUGGCGGCGUGCCUAAUACAUGCAAGUCGAGCGAACAGACGAGGAGCUUGCUCCUCUGACGUUAGCGGCGGACGGGUGAGUAACACGUGGAUAACCUACCUAUAAGACUGGGAUAACUUCGGGAAACCGGAGCUAAUACCGGAUAAUAUAUUGAACCGCAUGGUUCAAUAGUGAAAGACGGUUUUGCUGUCACUUAUAGAUGGAUCCGCGCCGCAUUAGCUAGUUGGUAAGGUAACGGCUUACCAAGGCAACGAUGCGUAGCCGACCUGAGAGGGUGAUCCGCCACACUGGAACUGAGACACGGUCCAGACUCCUACGGGAGGCAGCAGUAGGGAAUCUUCCGGAAUGGGCGAAAGCUUGACGGAGCAACGCCGCGUGAGUGAUGAAGGUCUUCGGAUCGUAAAACUCUGUUAUUAGGGAAGAACAAAUGUGUAAGUAACUAUGCACGUCUUGACGGUAACUAAUCAGAAAGCCACGGCUAACUACGUG